Molecule: long non-coding RNA, 150 nt
Organism: Varanus komodoensis (Komodo dragon)
Lineage: Eukaryota; Metazoa; Chordata; Lepidosauria; Squamata; Varanidae
Exons: 3
Source: RefSeq, a predicted model, not a curated record
GGUUCUAGUCACUGCUCAGCCAUGGAGCCAACUGGGUGACUUUGGGCCAGUCACAGGCCCUCAACCCAACCUACCUCACAGGGUUGUUAUUGUGGGGAUAAGAUUGAGAACAGCAGUAGGAGGAGGAUGUAAGACACUUUGAAUUCUUUG